GGAAAUUGAUGUACCUGAUUCUAAAUUGGUCACUGAUGCUGGUAUUGACUCUACUAAUAACAACGAUGUGAAUGUUGACGCUCCUAAUGCUGAAAAGAAAGAUUAUUCUAUAGUAUUAGUACCUGAGAAAAGUGAUACUGAAAAUGAGAAUGCAUCAGUGAGACUUGAACCUGGUCCUCCUUGUGUUGUCUCUUCGGAUACAAAGGGGUUAAGUGGAGGCUUGAAUAAUGGGGUCCAUAAAAUAGGUCAGCCAUCAUCUGGUUUCGAUGGGAGAUCAUGACUUUUCAACGUGUGACAAUAUCACAUUUGAAUCCUGAUUCUGUUUUCCCGCUUUCUUUUUCUAGGUUGGAUGUGACAGUUGUUGAUGUUGGACCACCAGCUGACUGGGUGAAGAUUAACGUACAGAGGACGGCAUGUUGCUAUCUUACAAAUCUGAGCAAUCCACCUACCUUGUUUUAUGUAUUAAUUAAUAGUCUCUUCCAAUAACUGCAGGAAGAUUGCUUCGAGGUGUAUGCAUUAGUCCCAGGACUAGUCCGUGAAGAGGUUAGCUCUCUCACACACUUGGAGUAGAAUCUAUGUACAUACUCGUUUUGUGUACAUGUGAACUUAUCUUGGCAAAUAACAACACAGGUCCGAGUCCAAUCAGAUCCGGCAGGACGGUUGGUAAAAAGUGGCGAACCAGAGAACCCUAUGAAUCCAUGGGGAGCUACUCCUUUCAAAAAGGUAAUGUCCAUAACGAAGUAGUCGCUACACUUGAGGCUGAACCUAUAGAAGACAUGGAAAUUGAUGUACCUGAUUCUAAAUUGGUCACUGAUGCUGGUAUUGACUCUACUAAUAACAACGAUGUGAAUGUUGACGCUCCUAAUGCUGAAAAGAAAGAUUAUUCUAUAGUAUUAGUACCUGAGAAAAGUGAUACUGAAAAUGAGAAUGCAUCAGUGAGACUUGAACCUGGUCCUCCUUGUGUUGUCUCUUCGGAUACAAAGGGGUUAAGUGGAGGCUUGAAUAAUGGGGUCCAU
Molecule: long non-coding RNA, 1016 nt
Filed under: Brassica napus (rape)
Lineage: Eukaryota; Viridiplantae; Streptophyta; Magnoliopsida; Brassicales; Brassicaceae
Description: long non-coding RNA (BNAP_LNC019508)
Source: RNAcentral